GUCGACCCCUAAGGCGAGGCCGAAAGGCGUAGUCGAUGGGAAACGGGUUAAUAUUCCCGUACUUGGUGUUACUGCGAAGGGGGGACGGAGAAGGCUAUGUUGGCCGGGCGACGGUUGUCCCGGUUUAAGCGUGUAGGUGUGUGUUCCAGGUAAAUCCGGUUCACUUUAACACUGAGGCGUGACGACGAGGCACUACGGUGCUGAAGCAACAAAUGCCCUGCUUCCAGGAAAAGCCUCUAAGCAUCAGGUAACAUCAAAUCGUACCCCAAACCGACACAGGUGGUCAGGUAGAGAAUACCAAGGCGCUUGAGAGAACUCGGGUGAAGGAACUAGGCAAAAUGGUGCCGUAACUUCGGGAGAAGGCACGCUGACACGUAGGUGAAGUGAUUUACUCAUGGAGCUGAAGUCAGUCGAAGAUACCAGCUGGCUGCAACUGUUUAUUAAAAACACAGCACUGUGCAAACACGAAAGUGGACGUAUACGGUGUGACGCCUGCCCGGUGCCGGAAGGUUAAUUGAUGGGGUCAGCGCAAGCGAAGCUCCUGAUCGAAGCCCCGGUAAACGGCGGCCGUAACUAUAACGGUCCUAAGGUAGCGAAAUUCCUUGUCGGGUAAGUUCCGACCUGCACGAAUGGCGUAAUGAUGGCCAGGCUGUCUCCACCCGAGACUCAGUGAAAUUGAACUCGCUGUGAAGAUGCAGUGUACCCGCGGCAAGACGGAAAGACCCCGUGAACCUUUACUAUAGCUUGACACUGAACAUUGAGCCUUGAUGUGUAGGAUAGGUGGGAGGCUUUGAAGUGUGGACGCCAGUCUGCAUGGAGCCGACCUUGAAAUACCACCCUUUAAUGUUUGAUGUUCUAACGUGGACCCGUGAUCCGGGUUGCGGACAGUGUCUGGUGGGUAGUUUGACUGGGGCGGUCUCCUCCUAAAGAGUAACGGAGGAGCACGAAGGUUGGCUAAUCCUGGUCGGACAUCAGGAGGUUAGUGCAAUGGCAUAAGCCAGCUUGACUGCGAGCGUGACGGCGCGAGCAGGUGCGAAAGCAGGUCAUAGUGAUCCGGUGGUUCUGAAUGGAAGGGCCAUCGCUCAACGGAUAAAAGGUACUCCGGGGAUAACAGGCUGAUACCGCCCAAGAGUUCAUAUCGACGGCGGUGUUUGGCACCUCGAUGUCGGCUCAUCACAUCCUGGGGCUGAAGUAGGUCCCAAGGGUAUGGCUGUUCGCCAUUUAAAGUGGUACGCGAGCUGGGUUUAGAACGUCGUGAGACAGUUCGGUCCCUAUCUGCCGUGGGCGCUGGAGAACUGAGGGGGGCUGCUCCUAGUACGAGAGGACCGGAGUGGACGCAUCACUGGUGUUCGGGUUGUCAUGCCAAUGGCACUGCCCGGUAGCUAAAUGCGGAAGAGAUAAGUGCUGAAAGCAUCUAAGCACGAAACUUGCCCCGAGAUGAGUUCUCCCUGAGACUUAAAGUCUCCUGAAGGAACGUUGAAGACGACGACGUUGAUAGGCCGGGUGUGUAAGCGCAGCGAUGCGUUGAGCUAACCGGUACUAAUGAACCGUGAGGCUUAACCUU
This 1564-nucleotide ribosomal RNA is filed under the name Salmonella enterica. RNAcentral describes it as "partial 23S ribosomal RNA". It matches the Rfam family "Bacterial large subunit ribosomal RNA", at positions 1383 to 2925 of the family's 2925-position model. Lineage: Bacteria; Pseudomonadati; Pseudomonadota; Gammaproteobacteria; Enterobacterales; Enterobacteriaceae. The record is from RNAcentral.